GUGAGGUGAAAUGAAAUGUGCAAGAAUUAAAGACGGAAGUGUUUGACCAGAUGCGGAGACAGAUAUGUUGGUUUGGUUACCCACAGCCCAAGCCUAUAUGCGCUUUGUCUAAAUCAUGUAGGAAAAGGAAUCUCACAACUUCAGAAAAUCCACAUAUUGAAUAAGCAGAUGAUGAAAGAACAUCCUAUCUUUGGUCAGUGAGCUUUAAACAGAAUUGAAAAGUAAAGUAGCUGAGGGAAAAGAAGUGGAGGGACUCUGACAGAAGCAGAUCACAGAGAAGAUAAUGAAGAUGGAGCAGAGAGAUGCAGCCAUAAUGCCAACACCCAUGAAAAGCUGAAGAGACAUAUCUGCAUACAUUUUCACCAAUGACCAAGACAGGGA
Hyaena hyaena (striped hyena) is the source of this 381-nucleotide long non-coding RNA. RefSeq lists it as uncharacterized. Lineage: Eukaryota; Metazoa; Chordata; Mammalia; Carnivora; Hyaenidae. The record is from RefSeq and is a predicted model, not a curated record. The transcript is spliced from 4 exons.